AUCUCUGUGGUGCAAUUGGUUAGCACAUUCAGGCCAAAAUCCUGAAAGGUUGGUGGUUCAAAUCCACCCAGAGAUA
This is a non-coding RNA of Hyla sarda, 76 nucleotides long. NCBI's taxonomy places the organism in Eukaryota, Metazoa, Chordata, Amphibia, Anura, Hylidae. The record is from the annotation of a RefSeq genome assembly.